GUGUCAGCCGCCGCGGUAAUACGGAGGGUGCAAGCGUUGUUCGGAAUUAUUGGGCGUAAAGCGCGUGUAGGUGGUCAGGUAAGUCAGAUGUGAAAGCCUUCUGCUUAACAGAAGAAGUGCAUUUGAAACUGCUUGGCUAGAGUACGGGAGAGGAGAGUGGAAUUCCCGGUGUAGAGGUGAAAUUCGUAGAUAUCGGGAGGAACACCAGUGGCGAAGGCGGCUCUCUGGUCCGAUACUGACACUGAGACGCGAAAGCGUGGGGAGCAAACAGGAUUAGAUACCCUGGUAGUCCACGCCGUAAACGAUGGGCACUAGGUGUAGGAGGUAUUGACCCCUUCUGUGCCGAAGCUAACGCAUUAAGUGCCCCGCCUGGGGAGUACGGCCGCAAGGCUAAAACUUAAAUGAAUUGACGGGG
RNAcentral lists this ribosomal RNA (415 nucleotides) under uncultured prokaryote. RNAcentral's name for it is "bacterial SSU rRNA". It matches the Rfam family "Bacterial small subunit ribosomal RNA", at positions 505 to 918 of the family's 1533-position model. The record is from RNAcentral.